AUGGGCUUAGCUUGCCUUGUUCUGUACGUUGUUCCACCCCUUGCCGCUGAUCGAGUAGCGGAUGAUGAACUUGAGCACGUCCAGCGGGACGUAGGUGACGAGGGUGAAGGCCCAGAUGGCGCCGCCCCACGCCCACCCGAUCCCCUCCAUGUCGCAGAAAUCCCAGUCGGCGUACACGGCGAUCGCCGUCGCCACCAGCUGCGCCGCGAAGAAGGCGAAGAGCAGCAGGAACCCCGGGCGCUCCACGAAGGACCAGCUCCGCGACCGCGUCACGAAGAUGAGCGCCUGGCUGAUGAUGCUCACCUGCAGGUACAGCGCCGCCAUGAGCUGCCGGUCGUUGUCCCGGAUCGGGUGCACCCCGAACGUCUCCGUGAAGAAGUCCGUGUCGUGCGCCAGGUAGAAGAAGACCACGGUGACCAGCGCCAUGUAGGUGCCCAGCACCACCCCGGUCGCGAAGAUCUCGUCCAGCUUCCACGAGUCCGGCUUGGGCGACGGCUUCACCCGGUCCUUGGAGAUGGUCAUGAUGGUGCCGUCGUUGAGGAUGGCGAUGAUGAGCACCAUGAAGGGCGCGAAGUCGAACUUCCAGAUCAGCGCCACCAGCAUGAACCCGAGCACGAUACGGAUCGUGAUGGACACCGCGUAGAUGGUGUAGUUCUUCAUCCGCUGGAAGAUGGCGCGGCUCGUCAGCACCGCGCUCACGAUCACGCUCAGCCCGGGCUCCGUCAGCACGAUGUCCGACGCCGACCGCGCCGCGUCCGUCGCGUCGUCCACCGCGAUCCCGAUGUCCGCCUUCUUCAGCGCCGGCGCGUCGUUCACGCCGUCGCCCGUCAUCCCCACGAUGUGCUUCUUGUCCUGCAGCCGCUUCACGAUCUCGUACUUGUGCUCCGGGAACACCCCCGCGAACCCGUCCGCCUUCUCGAUCAGCUCGUCGAUGGGGAGCCCGUCCACGGCCGUGCUCUUGUCGCCCAGGAGGGCCGUGGACGGGUACAUGUUGGUGCCCAUGCCGAGCCGCCGCCCGGUCUCCUUCCCGAUGGCCAGCUGGUCGCCGGUGAUCAUCUUCACGUUGACGCCCAGGUGGAGCGCGCGGCGGAUGGUCUCCGCGCUGUCGUGCCUCGGAGGGUCGAACAGCGGGAGCAGCCCGAUGAACUGCCACGGGUCGCCGGCGCUCUCCUUGUUCUUCUCCGGGACCUGCUGGUACGACACGCCGAGGGACCGGAGGCCGCGGUCGGCGUAUGA
RNAcentral lists this ribosomal RNA (1236 nucleotides) under Triticum aestivum (bread wheat). RNAcentral describes it as "partial small subunit ribosomal RNA". The record is from RNAcentral. Lineage: Eukaryota; Viridiplantae; Streptophyta; Magnoliopsida; Poales; Poaceae.